This 355-nucleotide long non-coding RNA is filed under the name Equus asinus (donkey). RNAcentral describes it as "lncRNA (ENSEASG00005034318.1)". The record is from RNAcentral. Lineage: Eukaryota; Metazoa; Chordata; Mammalia; Perissodactyla; Equidae.
GUUGACCUUGGCCUUAGGAGAACAGGGAAUGAUAGCAAUCAUUGAUUAAGUACUUACAGGCCAAGCACAUUAUCUGCACCAUUUCUGGAUACCCAGGCAGAGUCAGUACCCCCACUGCCCAGAUGGAGGUCAGACUACUCACUGACAGGUGUAUUUGGGAGGAAUAAAGAAGUCCUCGCUUGUAAAAUGCUUUGGGGAGAAUCUGGCACAUAUGUUCCUCCGGCAUCUUCUCCAAACGGGAGGUCAAGGGAGACCCCUAAAGGAGACAGAGUCAGAGGAUGGGUAGAGAGGCAAGAAGGAAGCAGGCUCCCCGCCCCCUGCAGGACUGACUUCCCGGCCGUGUGGAAACUCUCUC